Molecule: long non-coding RNA, 560 nt
Organism: Brassica napus (rape)
Lineage: Eukaryota; Viridiplantae; Streptophyta; Magnoliopsida; Brassicales; Brassicaceae
Exons: 2
Source: RefSeq, a predicted model, not a curated record
AUGAAAUCUAUUGAGCUGUCUAGGCAGCUUCUCUACACUCGUCUCGCUAGCAUUCGUGGACGUACUGAGUCGUUCUGGAAGGAAGUUGAUCACGUGAAAGGCUUGUGGAAGAAUCGUGCGGAUUUGAAGGUGGAAGAGGCUGGGACUGCAGCACUUUUUGGUCUGGAUUGCUUCGUAUGGUUCUGUGCAGGUGAGAUCGUCGGAAGAGGCUUCACUUUCACCGGCUACUACCCUCCACUUACCCUUGAAGAAACAGAGCAACCCCCACAAACAGAUGCUUCCAUUGAACGCUGAAAAAGCUUUUAAAAUCAUGAACUGGCGGUUUAGUAUCGAUCUCAUUGCUGACAUUAGAAGCAUAAGUUAAUUUCUUUCCUAUCUAUGGAUAAUCAGAUACACCCAAAAUUUGAAGCCGAGGGAUCGUCAGUCAUGCUAGCUCUUUAAUAAUAUCAGUCUCAGAACUUGUUUGCAAGAUUUUUUCUUUAGUUUCAUUACUGUGAACAGAACCAUGUUUCUUACUCGCAACAGAGAUAACAGAAACAAAGUUUGGUACUUUUGAAGAA